GAUGAACGCUGGCGGCGUGCUUAACACAUGCAAGUCGAACGGAAAGGCUCCUGCUUGCAGGGGUACUCGAGUGGCGAACGGGUGAGUAACACGUGGGUGAUCUGCCCUGCACUUCGGGAUAAGCCUGGGAAACUGGGUCUAAUACCGGAUAGGACCACAUUUUGGAUGGUGUGGUGGAAAGUUUUUCAGUGUGGGAUGAGCUCGCGGCCUAUCAGCUUGUUGGUGGGGUAAUGGCCUACCAAGGCGUCGACGGGUAGCCGGCCUGAGAGGGUGUACGGCCACAUUGGGACUGAGAUACGGCCCAGACUCCUACGGGAGGCAGCAGUGGGGAAUAUUGCACAAUGGGCGCAAGCCUGAUGCAGCGACGCCGCGUGGGGGAUGACGGCCUUCGGGUUGUAAACUCCUUUCGCUAGGGACGAAGCGCAAGUGACGGUACCUGGAGAAGAAGCACCGGCUAACUACGUG
RNAcentral lists this ribosomal RNA (465 nucleotides) under uncultured bacterium. RNAcentral's name for it is "partial 16S ribosomal RNA". It matches the Rfam family "Bacterial small subunit ribosomal RNA", at positions 28 to 507 of the family's 1533-position model. The record is from RNAcentral.